GUCUAUAGCCGUACCACCCUGAACGUGCCUGAUCUCGUCUGAUCUCAGAAGCUAAGCAGGGUCGGACCUGGUUAGUACUUGGAUGGGAGACCACCUAGGAAGACCAGGUGCUGUAGGCA
This 119-nucleotide ribosomal RNA is filed under the name Pteropus alecto (black flying fox). The record is from RNAcentral. Lineage: Eukaryota; Metazoa; Chordata; Mammalia; Chiroptera; Pteropodidae.